This 1282-nucleotide long non-coding RNA is filed under the name Neogobius melanostomus (round goby). Its description in RNAcentral is "lncRNA (ENSNMLG00000015455.1)". Lineage: Eukaryota; Metazoa; Chordata; Actinopteri; Gobiiformes; Gobiidae. The record is from RNAcentral.
AUCUCUGCCCUGCUCCUGGUUACAGGCCUCUCCCCUGGAGGCCUCUCCCCGGCCGUGGGGCUCUGCUCUGGCUUGUGAGGUGUGCGUCUCUGCCCUGGACGUCCACUGCUCCGGCUGCAGCCCCAGCCCUGACUUCAGCCGCCGCCUGGAGGAACUGAUGAGACGCCUGACCCAAAGCCUGCUCCUCUGCAGAGACCAGCAGCGGUGUGACUCUCUGACCGACUGCGUGCUGACUCUGGGACGCUCGCCGCUGCUCCGCUGUUUCCUGAUUGGACAGAUCCUCUCCCACCUCCGCACCGUCAGUGAGCAGCUGUGGACGCUCUGCCAGGCAUCGGAGCCGGAGCUCAGUGAGUUUCCGAUGGCGGCGUUUGAAAACAGCUGUCGCCACAUGUGGAUCCUGGAGCAGCUGCUGCUGCGUUCCAACGGACCAAUGAGAGGAGAGACCGACACUGACCGGCCAAUGAGAGGAGAGACUGAGACUGAGCGGCCAAUGAGAGGAGAGACCGACACCGACCGGCCAAUGAGAGGAGAGACCGACACUGACCGGCCAUGAGAGGAGAGACUGAGACUGAGCCCAAUGAGAGGAGGACACCGACCGCCAAUGAGAGGAGAGACCGACACUGACCGGCCAAUGAGAGGAGAGACCGACACUGACCGGCCAAUGAGAGGAGAGACCGACACCGACCGGCCAAUGAAGGAGAGACCGACACCGACCGGCCAAUGAGAGGAGAGACCGACACCGACCGGCCAAUGAGAGGAGAGACUGACACCAACGGACGAAUGAGAGCGUCCCACAGCGGGCCAAUGAGAGCGUCCACCGCGGGCCAAUGGGAGCGUCCCACAGCGGGCCAAUGAGAGCGUCCCACAGCGGGCCAAUGAGAGCGUCCCACAGCGGGCCAAUGAGAGCGUCCCACAGCGGGCCAAUGGGAGCGUCCCACAGCGGGCCAAUGGAGCGUCCCACAGCGGGCCAAUGAGAGUGGACCUGUCGGCGGUGCAGGGCGAGCUGGAGGAGCUGCGGCGCCGUGUUUUCCCGCUCUCUCAGGAGUUUCCUCUUUUCGCCGUUUGUCUGUGGAGGAUCCUGAACCUCAUCGCCAACGGAAACAAGCCGGACGAGCGAGAGUAAAGGACUUACACACAGCUCUAUGACUGAACAUUUAACUUAAACUGUAUUUAUAUUAUCGUCUUAUUAAAUGUGCUGAAGGAAAACGCGCUGGUUUUAAAGUCACUUUAUUGUCGUCGACACGUCACGUUUGUUAUUGUCCUGUGUUUUAGCGCCUCGUCC